GACGAACGCUGGCGGCGUGCUUAACACAUGCAAGUCGAACGGAAAGGCCCUGCUUAUGUGGGGUGCUCGAGUGGCGAACGGGUGAGUAACACGUGAGUAACCUGCCCUUGACUUUGGGAUAACUUCAGGAAACUGGGGCUAAUACCGGAUAGGAGCUCCUGCUGCAUGGUGGGGGUUGGAAAGUUUCGGCGGUUGGGGAUGGACUCGCGGCUUAUCAGCUUGUUGGUGGGGUAGUGGCUUACCAAGGCUUUGACGGGUAGCCGGCCUGAGAGGGUGACCGGCCACAUUGGGACUGAGAUACGGCCCAGACUCCUACGGGAGGCAGCAGUGGGGAAUAUUGCACAAUGGGCGGAAGCCUGAUGCAGCAACGCCGCGUGCGGGAUGACGGCCUUCGGGUUGUAAACCGCUUUCGCCUGUGGCGAAGCGUGAGUGACGGUAAUGGGUAAAGAAGCACCGGCUAACUACGUG
Molecule: ribosomal RNA, 468 nt
Filed under: uncultured bacterium
Lineage: Bacteria
Description: partial 16S ribosomal RNA
Rfam family: Bacterial small subunit ribosomal RNA
Source: RNAcentral